GGACAAGUAGUUUAGUAGUAUAACAUACACUUCACAAAUGUAAAGGUCCGGCGUUCAAUUCGCCUUUUAUCCA
This 73-nucleotide transfer RNA is filed under the name Sphaerobolus stellatus SS14. RNAcentral's name for it is "tRNA-Val (CAC) (tRNA-Val-CAC-7-1)". It matches the Rfam family "tRNA". From Rfam's summary of the family: Transfer RNA (tRNA) molecules are approximately 80 nucleotides in length. Their secondary structure includes four short double-helical elements and three loops (D, anti-codon, and T loops). Further hydrogen bonds mediate the characteristic L-shaped molecular structure. tRNAs have two regions of fundamental functional importance: the anti-codon, which is responsible for specific mRNA codon recognition, and the 3' end, to which the tRNAs corresponding amino acid is attached (by aminoacyl-tRNA synthetases). tRNAs cope with the degeneracy of the genetic code in two manners: having more than one tRNA (with a specific anti-codon) for a particular amino acid; and 'wobble' base-pairing, i.e. permitting non-standard base-pairing at the 3rd anti-codon position. Lineage: Eukaryota; Fungi; Basidiomycota; Agaricomycetes; Geastrales; Sphaerobolaceae. The record is from RNAcentral.